Molecule: ribosomal RNA, 429 nt
Filed under: Actinomycetes bacterium
Lineage: Bacteria; Bacillati; Actinomycetota; Actinomycetes
Description: Actinobacteria bacterium partial 16S ribosomal RNA
Rfam family: Bacterial small subunit ribosomal RNA
Source: RNAcentral
UAGGGAAUCUUCCGCAAUGGGCGAAAGCCUGACGGAGCAACGCCGCGUGAGUGAUGAAGGUCUUCGGAUCGUAAAACUCUGUUAUUAGGGAAGAACAAAUGUGUAAGUAACUAUGCACGUCUUGACGGUACCUAAUCAGAAAGCCACGGCUAACUACGUGCCAGCAGCCGCGGUAAUACGUAGGUGGCAAGCGUUAUCCGGAAUUAUUGGGCGUAAAGCGCGCGUAGGCGGUUGUUUAAGUCUGAUGUGAAAGCCCACGGCUCAACCGUGGAGGGUCAUUGGAAACUGGAAAACUUGAGUGCAGAAGAGGAAAGUGGAAUUCCAUGUGUAGCGGUGAAAUGCGCAGAGAUAUGGAGGAACACCAGUGGCGAAGGCGACUUUCUGGUCUGUAACUGACGCUGAUGUGCGAAAGCGGGGGGAUCAAACAGG